This is a long non-coding RNA of Dermacentor albipictus, 2212 nucleotides long. RefSeq lists it as uncharacterized. NCBI's taxonomy places the organism in Eukaryota, Metazoa, Arthropoda, Arachnida, Ixodida, Ixodidae. The record is from RefSeq and is a predicted model, not a curated record.
UCGACCCAACUAGCGGAGGCAGAGCCUCGUAUUUUGAACAUGGACGUUUGUUUCGGUUAUUUAACAAACAAACUGGGGCCAAGGGGUGUAGCGCAUGUGACGCCCCCUCGGGCAUAAUCUUCGUUCGCCCGCCAGGCUCUAUGGCGUGCUAAACGUAAUAAACACUGACGAGCACAGCUGCUCGGCGAUCAGUCAAAGUUAAGCGCCACCACGCUGCGGAGCGUCCGUCUAACGGAGGGUGCCUCAAGCCCUCCCUUGUUCACGAACCCGGGUGGAUCGUGACAGCUCACUCCCAUAUCUAUUUCCUUUGCAGGAUUUGAUGCUGUUGACAUGCCUGCGUACUCCUUUCGUGAGCAGGAUUGUGCUGCAUCUUGUGGCAUUGAUGCCCCUGUGGAACGUGGCCUCAUCGGGGGACAUUGUGCUACGUCCAGUGGAUGUCUCUACGGGUGCUCCUCGGAGAUAAAGAAACCGAACUUCUCCUGGCCUUCAAUGAUGACGGACUUCCCAUCGUAGUAAAAGGCCACCCGAAGGCGAGCAAGUUCGAGUCGUUAGUGAAGCGACAGAAGCUGCAGUCCCAUCCCGGGUCCCUCAAAGGAAAGGGCAGAGGAGACGUGGCCCCAGGCCAAAGUUUUAUUUCUUAUUGACCUUUACAACAAAAUAUCAAUCAGAACUGAGAAAUAGGAAGAAGUCAAAACGGCAGGUAUUGGAGAUGCUGGCCGACGCAAUUACUCAAAGGUUUAAUUGCGACAUGGUUUCCUCGCAAAAAUGAAAUAACUGGAGAGAGCCGGAAAAAGUACAGGCUAGUAAGGCAACACAAAAGUGCCUGGCAGUGACCGCAUUACCUGCGACUGAAGAGCGAGAAAAAUUUUUGAAACCAAGCCUUCCCUGCAUGGUAAUUCAACUUAAUUCGAAAUAAUGCUUUCGCAUGGCUGGGGGUUCAAGCUAUAUAUUUUGCAUGGUGAAAAAACUGUUUCUCUGUGUCCUUUUUUAGCUACUUAAUUGGAGCUUAAAAGGAUAAACGACUUCGUAAAUCAGCAAAUGGUCCAGAUUUCAGCUUAAUGCCAGGGAGUCCACCGUUGUAUAGCCAUGAACUUAUUAUUUAUGAAGGUACUUGCUGAAAAGCAGUGUGCCAAUUAAAAGCUUGCACAAAAUUAGCCUUGAUUUUGGUUUUUCAAGCAGCUGGUUGAGGUCUUCGAGAUUAUGCACUCGUUUAAUUCUGUCUAAGUCGCGGCGGCAGGACGUCCACAAGUAUUAAGGCAAGUUACACUUCUUCUUAUAGAAAUACAUUGUGUGCAUACCAUCAAUAAUCACCUUCCAUGCCUAAAUAGCACCUCUUCCUUAUUGUAAUUAAAUGAUGGAGGUAAUAUUAUUAUUACCGCUUGCUAGUUGUUCAGUGCAGAAUGCUCUUUAUCUUGUAAAACAGUUGAACUUAGGGGACAAUAUUUUGCCACCAGUGCCCAGUCAUCUGCCUCAAGCCCCCAGUAGCCAGCUGUGGGGUCCCCAGGCAACAAGUAGGGGCAGCAUUGCAGAAGACGUGAUAGAGCUGGACCCAGAUUGUGCAUCACCACUGUCCAGGACAGCAGCAUAGUCCAGGACAGCAGGAUAGUCCAGCACAGCAGCUGAGUCCAGCCCAGCAACCACCACAGGGCCCUUCAGCAAGACGACCCUGACAGGACCCAAACCGGGAGCUUUCAGAAGGCUUUCCGAGUUACCUAAAGCAGGCAGAAGAAAACGGAGAACGGCGCCACAAAAAGUGCAUGAGGCUUGAGCAGGAGGCGCUGGCUGUCUUAAAGCAGGUGGCAGAUAUACAGCAGCAUCAGCCUGCUCCCGAUGAUGUGUAGCUUUUUUGUAAUAUUUAAAUUGUGCUUCAUUUUAUUUAUUUUAUCAUGUUUUUAUUCGUAUGAAUUGUUUUUCAAUUUCUUACAUAUGCCGUUCUUUUCUGCGUUUAAUUGCCAUUGCCUAGCAUUUCCUUAAGACUUCAGUUGUAAUGUUUAUUUUAUUUCAUCAAACCUUUUGUUCUCUUUCAUUCUUCUGCGCCCUUUGUGUUGUCUAGCUUUUCCUCCAUAUUUAAAUUACAAUGUUCAUUUUGUUAGUUGCAUUCUGCUUUUUAUUCAUAUAAACUGUUCCUUUUCACUUAUAUCCUUUUGAUGAUGUGUAGUGUUUUGUGGCGCAAGGGCCAGGCUUGGCCAAAGAGCGCCAUGACAAGUGGUGA